This is a non-coding RNA of Testicularia cyperi, 121 nucleotides long. The record is from the annotation of a GenBank genome assembly. Lineage: Eukaryota; Fungi; Basidiomycota; Ustilaginomycetes; Ustilaginales; Anthracoideaceae.
GGUCGAAUGCCCGAGUGGUUAUGGGGCUGGCUUCAAGAUCUAUUCGUAGCAAUCUUGGCCAUUUGCUUGGCUUUGUCUAAACAACUCCAGUUUUUCCAGGGUUCGAAUCCCUGUUCGACCA